AUGCUCUUCCUAAAGAUUAAGCCAUGCAUGCCCCGAAUACGAGGAAGCAAUUGUCUCCGAAUCUGCGAACGGCUCCGCAAAACAGUCGCAAACCAAGGCGAGCCUAUGCGCCCUCCCUCCGGGGGGGGCGCUUAUAUGGAUAACCGUGGUAAUUCUGAGGCUAAUACAUGACACAACACCAGCCGCCCGGCUUGCCCCUCGGGGCGGUCGCGGUGGCGGGGAGCGUGCGACAAAAGGCUGGGGUACAUCGGGAUUGGACGCACGUUCAGACCACCGCUUCAAGGGCCUUGUGGGAGCGGGUCGGGGUUCACCCCCCUUCCCGCAACUGCUUGGCCUGGUGGCUCCCGCAAUGUACCUCUGACCUAUCAACUAGACGGCAGCAGAGGGGACAUGCCACGGUCGCAACGGGUACAGAGGAUUAGGGUUCGAUCCUGGAGAGUGGGCCUGAGAGAUUGCUCAUACUUCUAAGGAAGGCAGCAGGCGCGCAACGUUCCCAAUGGGCAAUGCCCGAGG
This 513-nucleotide ribosomal RNA is filed under the name Comatricha laxa. Its description in RNAcentral is "SSU rRNA". It matches the Rfam family "Eukaryotic small subunit ribosomal RNA", at positions 28 to 464 of the family's 1831-position model. The record is from RNAcentral. Lineage: Eukaryota; Evosea; Eumycetozoa; Stemonitida; Stemonitidae.